CAUGUGGUUUAAUUCGAUGCAAAGCGAAGAACCUUACCAAGGCUUGACAUGCCGCGAAUCCUCUUGAAAAAGAGGAGUGCCUUCGGGAACACUUGUAGGAAUGACAUAAUGCUAAUCCGUGUUCCACACACACG
RNAcentral lists this non-coding RNA (134 nucleotides) under Medicago truncatula (barrel medic). Lineage: Eukaryota; Viridiplantae; Streptophyta; Magnoliopsida; Fabales; Fabaceae. The record is from Rfam by way of RNAcentral.